Rhineura floridana is the source of this 1781-nucleotide long non-coding RNA. RefSeq lists it as uncharacterized. NCBI's taxonomy places the organism in Eukaryota, Metazoa, Chordata, Lepidosauria, Squamata, Rhineuridae. The transcript has 3 exons. The record is from RefSeq and is a predicted model, not a curated record.
UCCAUAGUACCACAACCUGAUAAUCAUCAGGCCAUGGCAAAGGUAACAGGGUUCCAUUUGUUGGUUUGAAUGUCCUUACUGGGCAUUGCAAUGGCAGACCAGAGUUGUUUACAACUUAGUAUUGUCUCGCCCCAAUGACACCAAAGCCAGAAGGCAGGACUAGAAGACAAGCCAGGUGUAAGGAGCAGAGAUCAAACCAGAAGGUAGGACAGCAGGAUUCAACCAGAAACACAAGACAUGCCAGAGCUCAGGUAACAUAAUGCUCAAGCAACAUCAUACUAAGAAAGGAAGUUCUCCUUCCUGCCCAGGAGGAGCCAAUGAUCAGUCUGUGCAGCUGUAGCCAGGUGGUGUGCUGAUCUACAGAGAGACCACUUGAUUAUUAUGUCAGUGGAAGAAAUGAAGAAACUGGAGAAGAUGAGACCUACUGAUCUCUCAGGAGUCAUUUUAUCAAAGUUGGAACUUGAAAAUCAAUUCUCAAAUGCAAUUCAAAAUACAACGUUUGAGAGAGGAAGUGAUUCUCUACACAAGCAUUUUCCCAAAGCUGUGCACAGCCAGAUGGGUGAAGCUGCCUUUUGAAGAGAUCCAAAGUAAAUAUUAUACCCAGAGACAAGCAAAAAUAUACAUAAACGCACCCUAGGAAAUGCAAUCCUCAGCAAGUUUAGCAAAUGCUGUAAUUAUGUCUGCAUCCCGUAAAAAGACCUAGUAUAUUUUUUGAGUUCUUGCAGUUAACAGGAAUGGAAAGCAAACUUUGGAAUCCAAAUUGCUAUGUCGGCAGUUGCUUCUGCCAAUGAUUCACCUUCAGCUAAAACAAUACUUUGGAUUGCAAGUUCCCUUCUGAGGGCUUUUAUUCAGAUGCUUUUUCUUUUUUAUUAUUUAAAAAUACAGUUCUUCAUAUGUUUAAAAGCACAGUUUAUUAAAAUACUGAACAUCAAAAUGGCUAUAUCAAAAUGCAAAAUAUUUAAUUCUAGUAAUGGGGUAUGUAAUUACAGAGCUAUAUAUACAAACAGUAUAUAAUUACGGAGUAGUAUUUAUUUAUUAUUUUAUUUAUUUAAAAAGAUUUAUAUACUGCUUGAUUGUAAUGAAACCUCAAAGCCAUUUGACAUAUAAAGGUAUUACCUUGUGAGAAAAUGUAUUAGUUUGGGGGAAUUGUGUGUGAGAGAGAGACCAGAAACUUAAUCUAUAAUAAGUCCCACUGAACUCAAUACCAUAAACCUAAUACCCAAUACCAUAGAAAUCUGAUGCAGGAAACCCAAAUGCUGCUACUGAUGUUGGCAGCAUUCUCUGCAUUAGCACUGGGCAAUAGCACCCUACCUAGAGUAGUACCCAUUUCCUAUCUAUCCCACCUACAGCACUGACACAUUUUCUAAUUUUUACCAUCUGGACCCUUGUCUCAUGGAUGCACAAAGAUGAGGAUUCUACACAUUCUUUCUAGGCUCAUGUUUCUGAGUCUGGCAUCUUAUAUGCCAAACUUUAUCCUCAACUAAGUGAGUCCUAUUAUUGACAGCAGACAACUGGCUAGUAAACCUAGAAAAAGAAACCCUACCCAUGAUACUUCUUGGGACUGAAGAUGAAGCAGGAAAUAUAAAAAUAGAGUCAUAGGGGAAAAUACAAACAUAUUUAUUUAUUUUUAUAUUAAGGUCUGGUUUAGACUAGAAAUACAAAUAGCUGGCCAUAGCCAGUGCAAAAAUUGUGUAUACAUGAUUUAGGAAGAAUCUGACCUUAGCCAGUAACUUAGGACAUACAAUGCUAACAAGCAUACAGCUGGCUUGAUAAUAAUUAAA